AUACUUACCGGGCAGGGGAGAUACCAUGAUCACGAAGGUGGUUUUCCCAGGGCGAGGCUUAUCCAUUGCACUCCGGAUGUGCUGACCCCUGCGAUUUCCCCAAAUGUGGGAAACUUGACUGCAUAAUUUGUGGUAGUGGGGGACUGCGUUCGCGCUCUCCCCUG
This 164-nucleotide small nuclear RNA is filed under the name Echinops telfairi (small Madagascar hedgehog). Its description in RNAcentral is "U1 spliceosomal RNA (ENSETEG00000021369.1)". It matches the Rfam family "U1 spliceosomal RNA". From Rfam's summary of the family: U1 is a small nuclear RNA (snRNA) component of the spliceosome (involved in pre-mRNA splicing). Its 5' end forms complementary base pairs with the 5' splice junction, thus defining the 5' donor site of an intron. There are significant differences in sequence and secondary structure between metazoan and yeast U1 snRNAs, the latter being much longer (568 nucleotides as compared to 164 nucleotides in human). Lineage: Eukaryota; Metazoa; Chordata; Mammalia; Afrosoricida; Tenrecidae. The record is from RNAcentral.